Molecule: ribosomal RNA, 321 nt
Filed under: Triticum aestivum (bread wheat)
Lineage: Eukaryota; Viridiplantae; Streptophyta; Magnoliopsida; Poales; Poaceae
Description: partial small subunit ribosomal RNA
Source: RNAcentral
AUGAACCAUGACGACCAAGGCAAGGCGGGCGCCAGCGCGCACAAUGUCCUUGCUUCCUCUUUGGUGCUAAGGAGGCAAGCGCAGGCGAGGAGUACCGAGGCAUCAGGCAAAGAUUUUCAUAUCGGUGCAACGAAACGAAGACCAGCAGGACGGCAAGACAGAGGUCAUCGUGGAGCCCAAGCCGGCGUCACCACCAGAGCCUUUGGCAGGCGAAGACCACCUUUAGUCAGGAUAUCUUGUACUAGUUUGUCCCCUUUCAAAUCGGCCGUUGGGGCAUCCCUUCCCGCUCAAUAUUUGGGAAGAGGACCAAGGCCUCUAUAA